This 338-nucleotide unclassified non-coding RNA is filed under the name soil metagenome. Its description in RNAcentral is "partial contains 5.8S ribosomal RNA, internal transcribed spacer 2, and large subunit ribosomal RNA". The stretch from base 1 to 120 matches the Rfam family "5.8S ribosomal RNA", at positions 35 to 154 of the family's 154-position model. The record is from RNAcentral.
GAUGAAGAACGUAGCGAAAUGCGAUAAGUAGUGUGAAUUGCAGAAUUCAGUGAAUCAUCGAAUCUUUGAACGCACAUUGCGCCCCUUGGUAUUCCAUGGGGCAUGCCUGUUCGAGCGUCAUUUGUACCUUCAAGCUCUGCUUGGUGUUGGGUGUUUUGUCUCGCCUCUGCGUGUAGACUCGCCUUAAAACAAUUGGCAGCCGGCGUAUUGAUUUCGGAGCGCAGUACAUCUCGCGCUUUGCACUCAUAACGGCGACGUCCAAAAGUACAUUUUUACACUCUCGACCUCGGAUCAGGUAGGGAUACCCGCUGAACUUAAGCAUAUCAAUAAGCGGAGGA